Molecule: ribosomal RNA, 2030 nt
Filed under: Salmonella enterica subsp. enterica serovar Abony
Lineage: Bacteria; Pseudomonadati; Pseudomonadota; Gammaproteobacteria; Enterobacterales; Enterobacteriaceae
Description: partial 23S ribosomal RNA
Rfam family: Bacterial large subunit ribosomal RNA
Source: RNAcentral
UGUUUCGGCUAGGGGGCCAUCCCGGCUUACCAACCCGAUGCAAACUGCGAAUACCGGAGAAUGUUAUCACGGGAGACACACGGCGGGUGCUAACGUCCGUCGUGAAGAGGGAAACAACCCAGACCGCCAGCUAAGGUCCCAAAGUCAUGGUUAAGUGGGAAACGAUGUGGGAAGGCCCAGACAGCCAGGAUGUUGGCUUAGAAGCAGCCAUCAUUUAAAGAAAGCGUAAUAGCUCACUGGUCGAGUCGGCCUGCGCGGAAGAUGUAACGGGGCUAAACCAUGCACCGAAGCUGCGGCAGCGACGCUUAUGCGUUGUUGGGUAGGGGAGCGUUCUGUAAGCCUGUGAAGGUGUGUCGUGAGGCAUGCUGGAGGUAUCAGAAGUGCGAAUGCUGACAUAAGUAACGAUAAAGCGGGUGAAAAGCCCGCUCGCCGGAAGACCAAGGGUUCCUGUCCAACGUUAAUCGGGGCAGGGUGAGUCGACCCCUAAGGCGAGGCCGAAAGGCGUAGUCGAUGGGAAACGGGUUAAUAUUCCCGUACUUGGUGUUACUGCGAAGGGGGGACGGAGAAGGCUAUGUUGGCCGGGCGACGGUUGUCCCGGUUUAAGCGUGUAGGUGUGUGUUCCAGGUAAAUCCGGUUCACUUUAACACUGAGGCGUGACGACGAGGCACUACGGUGCUGAAGCAACAAAUGCCCUGCUUCCAGGAAAAGCCUCUAAGCAUCAGGUAACAUCAAAUCGUACCCCAAACCGACACAGGUGGUCAGGUAGAGAAUACCAAGGCGCUUGAGAGAACUCGGGUGAAGGAACUAGGCAAAAUGGUGCCGUAACUUCGGGAGAAGGCACGCUGACACGUAGGUGAAGUGAUUUACUCAUGGAGCUGAAGUCAGUCGAAGAUACCAGCUGGCUGCAACUGUUUAUUAAAAACACAGCACUGUGCAAACACGAAAGUGGACGUAUACGGUGUGACGCCUGCCCGGUGCCGGAAGGUUAAUUGAUGGGGUCAGCGCAAGCGAAGCUCCUGAUCGAAGCCCCGGUAAACGGCGGCCGUAACUAUAACGGUCCUAAGGUAGCGAAAUUCCUUGUCGGGUAAGUUCCGACCUGCACGAAUGGCGUAAUGAUGGCCAGGCUGUCUCCACCCGAGACUCAGUGAAAUUGAACUCGCUGUGAAGAUGCAGUGUACCCGCGGCAAGACGGAAAGACCCCGUGAACCUUUACUAUAGCUUGACACUGAACAUUGAGCCUUGAUGUGUAGGAUAGGUGGGAGGCUUUGAAGCGUGGACGCCAGUCUGCGUGGAGCCGACCUUGAAAUACCACCCUUUAAUGUUUGAUGUUCUAACGUGGACCCGUAAUCCGGGUUGCGGACAGUGUCUGGUGGGUAGUUUGACUGGGGCGGUCUCCUCCUAAAGAGUAACGGAGGAGCACGAAGGUUGGCUAAUCCUGGUCGGACAUCAGGAGGUUAGUGCAAUGGCAUAAGCCAGCUUGACUGCGAGCGUGACGGCGCGAGCAGGUGCGAAAGCAGGUCAUAGUGAUCCGGUGGUUCUGAAUGGAAGGGCCAUCGCUCAACGGAUAAAAGGUACUCCGGGGAUAACAGGCUGAUACCGCCCAAGAGUUCAUAUCGACGGCGGUGUUUGGCACCUCGAUGUCGGCUCAUCACAUCCUGGGGCUGAAGUAGGUCCCAAGGGUAUGGCUGUUCGCCAUUUAAAGUGGUACGCGAGCUGGGUUUAGAACGUCGUGAGACAGUUCGGUCCCUAUCUGCCGUGGGCGCUGGAGAACUGAGGGGGGCUGCUCCUAGUACGAGAGGACCGGAGUGGACGCAUCACUGGUGUUCGGGUUGUCAUGCCAAUGGCACUGCCCGGUAGCUAAAUGCGGAAGAGAUAAGUGCUGAAAGCAUCUAAGCACGAAACUUGCCCCGAGAUGAGUUCUCCCUGAGACUUAGAGUCUCCUGAAGGAACGUUGAAGACGACGACGUUGAUAGGCCGGGUGUGUAAGCGCAGCGAUGCGUUGAGCUAACCGGUACUAAUGAACCGUGAGG